Molecule: ribosomal RNA, 275 nt
Filed under: uncultured bacterium
Lineage: Bacteria
Description: partial 16S ribosomal RNA
Rfam family: Bacterial small subunit ribosomal RNA
Source: RNAcentral
CCUACGGGGGGCUGCAGUGGGGAAUUUUCCGCAAUGGGCGCAAGCCUGACGGAGCAAUACCGCGUGCGGGACGACGGCUUUUGGGUUGUAAACCGCUUUUGUCAGGGAAGAACACAAUGACGGUACCUGACGAAUCAGCAUCGGCUAACUCCGUGCCAGCAGCCGCGGUAAUACGGAGGAUGCAAGCGUUAUCCGGAAUUAUUGGGCGUAAAGCGUCCGCAGGUGGCUCAUCAAGUCUGCUGUCAAAGCGUGUAGCUCAACUACAUAUCGGCAGU